Christensenella minuta is the source of this 178-nucleotide non-coding RNA. It matches the Rfam family "6S / SsrS RNA". Rfam says of the family: E. coli 6S RNA was the first non coding RNA to be sequenced, but its function was unknown until recently. It consists of 184 nucleotides that fold into an extended hairpin structure with a large single-stranded internal bulge. The 6S RNA specifically associates with RNA polymerase holoenzyme containing the sigma70 specificity factor. The record is from Rfam. NCBI's taxonomy places the organism in Bacteria, Bacillati, Bacillota, Clostridia, Christensenellales, Christensenellaceae.
GUUUUCCUGGGGUGUGCGUUACGCUUUGUAUUUUAAACCCACAUUCUAAAUUCGGGAAUCUGGGUUUUACAGCGGUGAGCAAGUCUGUUACGUGCGGAAAGCCUGAAGCUGUAAACAAGGUACCCACCUGCCGUGAGGCGGGUUUUAGAAGCAAGGCGGACGGCACUUUGGGGUAAUU